Molecule: unclassified non-coding RNA, 373 nt
Filed under: Hevea brasiliensis (rubber tree)
Lineage: Eukaryota; Viridiplantae; Streptophyta; Magnoliopsida; Malpighiales; Euphorbiaceae
Source: RNAcentral
AGAUUUGGAAUCAAUACACACACUCUCUCUUUUUCUCUAUUUUUGGUCUAUAUUUUCUUUUAGCUACCAUGGAUAGAAAAUUUGUAUUUCUAGUAUCAAUUUUGUGCAUGGUAGUGGCAAGUGUCACGGGUCAGACACCUGCCGCAGCACCCGUUGGUGCUAAGGCUGGUACUACUCCACCAGCUGCUGCACCAACUAAGCCGAAAACUCCUGCUCCCGCAACAGCACCAGCCUCGGCCCCACCUACAGCUGUUCCUGUUGCUCCAGUAACCGCUCCAGUUACUGCUCCCACUACACCUGUUGUUGCUGCACCCGUAUCAGCACCAGCAAGUUCUCCACCAGUUAAAGCACCAGCAAGUUCUCCACCAGUUAA